UCGUAAAACUCUGUUAUUAGGGAAGAACAUAUGUGUAAGUAACUGUGCACAUCUUGACGGUACCUAAUCAGAAAGCCACGGCUAACUACGUGCCAGCAGCCGCGGUAAUACGUAGGUGGCAAGCGUUAUCCGGAAUUAUUGGGCGUAAAGCGCGCGUAGGCGGUUUUUUAAGUCUGAUGUGAAAGCCCACGGCUCAACCGUGGAGGGUCAUUGGAAACUGGAAAACUUGAGUGCAGAAGAGGAAAGUGGAAUUCCAUGUGUAGCGGUGAAAUGCGCAGAGAUAUGGAGGAACACCAGUGGCGAAGGCGACUUUCUGGUCUGUAACUGACGCUGAUGUGCGAAAGCGUGGGGAUCAAACAGGAUUAGAUACCCUGGUAGUCCACGCCGUAAACGAUG
This 396-nucleotide ribosomal RNA is filed under the name Staphylococcus aureus. RNAcentral describes it as "bacterial SSU rRNA". It matches the Rfam family "Bacterial small subunit ribosomal RNA", at positions 423 to 811 of the family's 1533-position model. Lineage: Bacteria; Bacillati; Bacillota; Bacilli; Caryophanales; Staphylococcaceae. The record is from RNAcentral.